Helianthus annuus (common sunflower) is the source of this 3507-nucleotide RNA transcript. RefSeq lists it as uncharacterized. The transcript is spliced from 3 exons. The record is from RefSeq and is a predicted model, not a curated record. NCBI's taxonomy places the organism in Eukaryota, Viridiplantae, Streptophyta, Magnoliopsida, Asterales, Asteraceae.
CAUGUCUAUGUGUGGUCUUUGUGUGUUAAGUUCUAAUACUUGUUGGGUUUGAGUUAUAGAUCUAUAAAAAUGUCAUCGGAUAGAGAAUGGAUGUACGGGAUGAGAUUCAAUAAAGAUGGUACUUUAAAUAUGCAAUUUCAACAACGUGUUGAUUAUUUUCUGGAUUUUGCAUACGAACACGCAACGAACAUUGAAGAGGAAACUAUAGGCGGGGUCCAGAAGUUACUAAUUAGAUGCCCAUGUAGUAAAUGCAAAAACCGUUACUACAAGACGAGAAACGUUGUUGAUUGUCAUCUAACUUCACUAGGAUUUAUGAAAGAUUAUCAGCUAUGGUACGCACAUGGUGAAUCUGAAGAGCCGAUGGGCGUGGACCAAUGUUCAAACCCCAUACCGUCUCAGCAUGUGGGUCAGGAUGUUGUUGAAGAUAUUGGUGAAUAUACCGAAUAUGAUCAAAUGGUCAUGGAAUGCAUGCACCAAGAUCCAAAUCAAGAAGCACAUGCAUUCUACCGUAUGUUAGAGCAAGCUAAUGAGCCUUUAUGGGAGGGGUGCAAAGAUGCUAGCACACUCUCUAUCACCACCAGGUUAUUGAAUUGGAAAUCAGACUGUAAUAUUUCGGACUCGACAUUUGAUAAACUACUUCCGAUAAUCAAAGACAAUCUACCUGAUGAUAACAAGCUACCUAGAAACUUUUAUGAGACCAAGAAGAUGUUGAAGCCACUAGAGUUGCCAUCACAAGUGAUUCAUGUGUGUCAAAACCAUUGUAUGCUAUUCAAUGGCCCGCAUUCUGAUCUGGAUCGUUGUAUAGUAUGUAAUGAAUAUAGAUACAAGGAAAGAGGGAAAAAAGUGCCUAAGUUGGUGAUGACUUACAUGCCUAUCGGACCAAGACUUCAAAGAUUGUUUUAUUCAAAAAAGACAGCCCAACAUAUGACUUGGCACGCAGAUCGUAGUCCAUCCGAAAAGAUGAGUCAUCCUAGUGAAGGUCGAGCCUGGCACCAUUUUAACUCGGUUUUUUCUGAUUUUGCAAAAGAGACACGCAAUAUUCGUCUUGGAUUGUGUACAGAUGGAUUUAGUCCAAAUAAUGCAAGCGGGGCAAAGUAUUCAUGUUGGCCAGUGUUUAUCACGGUGUACAACCUACCUCCUUGGUUGGCCUUGAAAGAGCAAUAUGUACAAAUUCCUUUAAUCAUUCCCGGUCCAAAUAAUCCCCAACAAAAUAUUGACGUUUUUCUACAACCUUUGGUAGACGAGCUAAAACAGUUGUUCACACAUGGCAUUGAAACUUAUGAUGCCCAUCGAUGUGAGAAUUUCAAAAUGAAGGCCGUACUUUUAUGGACCGUUAGUGACUUUCCGGCUUAUGCGAUGUUGUCCGGAUGGAGCACACAUGGUAAGUUAGCCUGCCCAUAUUGCUCGAAUGAAUCGGGAUCAUUCCGACUUCCGUUUGGAGGGAAACCAUGUUGGUUUGACUGCCAUAGACAACAUCUUCCCGCAAAACAUUGUUUUCGAAAAGAUAAGACUAACUUUCGAAAAAACAAAAUGGUUUCGCGUGUAAGAGAUAUUCCACAGCCAACCGGAGAAGAAAUAUGGCAGGUUAUAAAAGAGUUUCCCAUUGUUUAUGAUGGCAAACCCUAUGGUACUGAAAGAUAUGAAAAACCGCCAGGUUUUGGGAUUACACAUAAUUGGGUAAAAAGAAGCAUCUUUUGGGAACUUCCGUAUUGGAGUAAGUUGUUAAUCCGACAUAAUCUCGACGUGAUGCAUAUCGAAAAGAAUGUAUUUGACAAUCUGUUUCACACAAUCAUGGGCACCAACACAUCCAAAGACAAAGACAAUAUGAAGGCAAGGCAAGACAUGGAGCGUAUUUGUGACCGAUUUCAUUUAAACCCCACAUGUGAUAACAACGGAAAGAUGACUAAAAAUAGGGGAAAUUACACUCUGUGAAAAGAUGACGUUAAAAAAGUUUGUGCUUGGUUGAAGAAGGUAAAAUUUCCAGACGGGUAUGCAUCAAAUAUAGGGAGUUGUGUAAACAUGAAAGACAACACUUUUCAUGGUUUUAAAAGCCAUGACUGUCAUGUGUUUAUGCAAUGGUUGCUUCCACUCGCUAUUUGAGGUUUUGUCUCAAAAGAGACAUAUGAGGCUGUAACAGAGUUGUGCAUGUUCUUUCGAGUCUUAUGCUCAAAAUCGUUGCAUGUAGAUGACUUGAUUAACAUGAAGCGCACUAUUGUUAUAACAGUAUGCAAGUUGGAGAAAAUUUUCCCUCCUAGUUUCUUUGAUUCUAUGGAGCACCUAGUCAUACAUCUAGCUGAUGAAGCUCUUCUUGGUGGUCCGGUACAAUACAGGUGGAUGUACCAAUACGAAAGGAAGCUUGGCUUAAUGAAAAGAAGAAUCAGAAACAAAUCAAAGGUUGAGGGUUCAAUGGUGAAGGAACAUCUAGUGAAUGAAAUCGCCACCUAUUGUUCUCUAUACUUUGACUCAACGAUUGAGACACGCCAUAAUCGAGAGCCACGAAAUUUCGCACCGCAACAUCUCAGCUCUUCGAGUGGAGGCUCUAAACUAAGCGUAUUUGUCGUUCCAUCGAGACGAUUACAUCAAAAGGGUGGAACACGGAGGCAUAUGAGUAAUGAAGAACUUAAAAAGGUGCACACAUAUGUUCUUCUAAAUUGUGUAGAAGUUUACCCUUAUAUCGACAAAUUUGAUGAAGUGGCACCACAACUGUAUCCGGACGAACCAGAAUUCCUUCUUAGAGAUAACCAUUUUGCUGAAUGGUUUGAAAAUCACGUAAUGAAUGGCUUAAUUGAUGGAAGCACUCGACAUUUGGAAAUUUUAGCAAGACAACCAUCAAUGUACGCUCAAUCACACAAUGGGUACUUUGUAAAUGGUUAUAAGUUUCACACCCAGAAGCAUGGUAAGGGACUUGUGACCCCAAACUGUGGUGUAUGUGUGAGAGGGGAAACGUAUAACGCCGAAGAGUCUGACUACUACGGCUUAGUGGACGAGAUAUUAGAACUUAAGUAUAAUGGCAAGGAACCUCAAAUUGUGGUAGUGUUUAAAUGUACAUGGUUUGAUAACAACCUGGGUGUAAUAGUUAACAAAAAUAAGCUUGUUGAUGUUAAACACAAGUUUCAUCUUCCAGGUGAUGACAAGUUUAUCUUGGCAUCACAGGCAGAACAAGUUUUUUACACUUCAUACCCUGCCGUGACACGUGAUACGAAAGAUCUAUGGCCGGUUGUGAAGACAAAAUCCCGUCACAUUUAUGAUCUCACUACACCUGAAACUGAUGUCACCAAUGAUGGUAACACGACAUCACACGAUUUUCUUCAAACUGAUGAACGGUUCGAGUUACCGAAUGCGGUAACUCGGAGUGAUCCCUUAGACCGGGUUACAUUUCAUGAUGAUGAUGAUGACGGUUGUGAUGAUGAUGAUGCAAACGUUUAUUCUGACCACUCUUUAGAUGAAGAUGAACAUGAUUGUUAGGAACAUAAAUUGUUUGUUGUAUACUUGUUAUUAUUUGAGAUA